GCUGGCGGCACGCUUAACACAUGCAAGUCGAACGAAGUAGCAAUACUUAGUGGCGAACGGGUGAGUAUAAUGUGGGUAUCUGCCUUUUGGUUUGGAAUAACACGGGGAAACUUGUGCUAAUACCGGAUAAGCCUUUACAGGGAAAGUUUUAACGCCAAAAGAUGAGCCCGCACUUGAUUAGCUAGUUGGUGAGGUAAUAGCUCACCAAGGCAACGAUCAAUAGCUGUUCUUAGAGGAAGACCAGCCACAUUGGGACUGAGACACGGCCCAAACUCCUACGGGAGGCAGCAGUGGGGAAUCUUGCACAAUGGGGGAAACCCUGAUGCAGCGAUGCCGCGUGAGUGAAGAAGGCCUUUGGGUUGUAAAGCUCUUUCGUCGGGGAAGAAAAUGACUGUACCCGAAUAAGAAGGUCCGGCUAACUUCGUGCCAGCAGCCGCGGUAAUACGAAGGGACCUAGCGUAGUUCGGAAUUACUGGGCUUAAAGAGCUCGUAGGUGGUUAGAAAAGUUGGUGGUGAAAGCCCAAGGCUUAACCUUGGAACUGCCACCAAAACUUUUUAACUAGAGUAUGAUAGAGGAAAGUGGAAUUUCUAGUGUAGAGGUGAAAUUCGUAGAUAUUAGAAAGAACACCAAUUGCGAAGGCAACUUUCUGGAUCAUUACUGACACUGAGGAGCGAAAGCAUGGGUAGCGAAGAGGAUUAGAUACCCUCGUAGUCCAUGCCGUAAACGAUGUGUGCUAGACGUUGGAAAUUUAUUUUUCAGUGUCGCAGCAAAAGCGUUAAGCACACCGCCUGGGGAGUACG
This 801-nucleotide ribosomal RNA is filed under the name uncultured Pelagibacteraceae bacterium. RNAcentral's name for it is "bacterial SSU rRNA". It matches the Rfam family "Bacterial small subunit ribosomal RNA", at positions 35 to 884 of the family's 1533-position model. The record is from RNAcentral. Lineage: Bacteria; Pseudomonadati; Pseudomonadota; Alphaproteobacteria; Candidatus Pelagibacterales; Candidatus Pelagibacteraceae.